This 701-nucleotide ribosomal RNA is filed under the name Ganoderma sp. BAB-4988. RNAcentral describes it as "eukaryotic LSU rRNA". The stretch from base 243 to 396 matches the Rfam family "5.8S ribosomal RNA". Lineage: Eukaryota; Fungi; Basidiomycota; Agaricomycetes; Polyporales; Polyporaceae. The record is from RNAcentral.
GUAACAAGGUUUCCGUAGGUGAACCUGCGGAAGGAUCAUUAUCGAGUUUUGACUGGGUUGUAGCUGGCCUUCCGAGGCAUGUGCACGCCCUGCUCAUCCACUCUACACCUGUGCACUUACUGUGGGCUUCAGAUCGUAAAACGGGUCCCUUUACCGGGCUUGCGGAGCGUGUCUGUGCCUGCGUUUAUCACAAACUCUAUAAAGUAUCAGAAUGUGUAUUGCGAUGUAACGCAUCUAUAUACAACUUUCAGCAACGGAUCUCUUGGCUCUCGCAUCGAUGAAGAACGCAGCGAAAUGCGAUAAGUAAUGUGAAUUGCAGAAUUCAGUGAAUCAUCGAAUCUUUGAACGCACCUUGCGCUCCUUGGUAUUCCGAGGAGCAUGCCUGUUUGAGUGUCAUGAAAUCUUCAACCUGCAAGCUUUUGUGGUUUGUAGGCUUGGACUUGGAGGCUUGUCGGCCGUUCUUGGUCGGCUCCUCUUAAAUGCAUUAGCUUGGUUCCUUGCGGAUCGGCUCUCAGUGUGAUAAUGUCUACGCUGCGACCGUGAAGCGUUUGGCGAGCUUCUAACCGUCUCAGUUGGAGACAACUUUAUGACCUAGUGGCCUCAAAUCAGGUAGGACUACCCGCUGAACUUAAGCAUAUCAAUAAGCGGAGGAAAAGAAACUAACAAGGAUUCCCCUAGUAACUGCGAGUGAAAGCGGAAAA